This 1796-nucleotide ribosomal RNA is filed under the name Escherichia coli. RNAcentral describes it as "partial 23S ribosomal RNA". It matches the Rfam family "Bacterial large subunit ribosomal RNA", at positions 1140 to 2915 of the family's 2925-position model. The record is from RNAcentral. Lineage: Bacteria; Pseudomonadati; Pseudomonadota; Gammaproteobacteria; Enterobacterales; Enterobacteriaceae.
GCUCACUGGUCGAGUCGGCCUGCGCGGAAGAUGUAACGGGGCUAAACCAUGCACCGAAGCUGCGGCAGCGACGCUUAUGCGUUGUUGGGUAGGGGAGCGUUCUGUAAGCCUGCGAAGGUGUGCUGUGAGGCAUGCUGGAGGUAUCAGAAGUGCGAAUGCUGACAUAAGUAACGAUAAAGCGGGUGAAAAGCCCGCUCGCCGGAAGACCAAGGGUUCCUGUCCAACGUUAAUCGGGGCAGGGUGAGUCGACCCCUAAGGCGAGGCCGAAAGGCGUAGUCGAUGGGAAACAGGUUAAUAUUCCUGUACUUGGUGUUACUGCGAAGGGGGGACGGAGAAGGCUAUGUUGGCCGGGCGACGGUUGUCCCGGUUUAAGCGUGUAGGCUGGUUUUCCAGGCAAAUCCGGAAAAUCAAGGCUGAGGCGUGAUGACGAGGCACUACGGUGCUGAAGCAACAAAUGCCCUGCUUCCAGGAAAAGCCUCUAAGCAUCAGGUAACAUCAAAUCGUACCCCAAACCGACACAGGUGGUCAGGUAGAGAAUACCAAGGCGCUUGAGAGAACUCGGGUGAAGGAACUAGGCAAAAUGGUGCCGUAACUUCGGGAGAAGGCACGCUGAUAUGUAGGUGAAGUCCCUCGCGGAUGGAGCUGAAAUCAGUCGAAGAUACCAGCUGGCUGCAACUGUUUAUUAAAAACACAGCACUGUGCAAACACGAAAGUGGACGUAUACGGUGUGACGCCUGCCCGGUGCCGGAAGGUUAAUUGAUGGGGUUAGCGCAAGCGAAGCUCUUGAUCGAAGCCCCGGUAAACGGCGGCCGUAACUAUAACGGUCCUAAGGUAGCGAAAUUCCUUGUCGGGUAAGUUCCGACCUGCACGAAUGGCGUAAUGAUGGCCAGGCUGUCUCCACCCGAGACUCAGUGAAAUUGAACUCGCUGUGAAGAUGCAGUGUACCCGCGGCAAGACGGAAAGACCCCGUGAACCUUUACUAUAGCUUGACACUGAACAUUGAGCCUUGAUGUGUAGGAUAGGUGGGAGGCUUUGAAGUGUGGACGCCAGUCUGCAUGGAGCCGACCUUGAAAUACCACCCUUUAAUGUUUGAUGUUCUAACGUGGACCCGUAAUCCGGGUUGCGGACAGUGUCUGGUGGGUAGUUUGACUGGGGCGGUCUCCUCCUAAAGAGUAACGGAGGAGCACGAAGGUUGGCUAAUCCUGGUCGGACAUCAGGAGGUUAGUGCAAUGGCAUAAGCCAGCUUGACUGCGAGCGUGACGGCGCGAGCAGGUGCGAAAGCAGGUCAUAGUGAUCCGGUGGUUCUGAAUGGAAGGGCCAUCGCUCAACGGAUAAAAGGUACUCCGGGGAUAACAGGCUGAUACCGCCCAAGAGUUCAUAUCGACGGCGGUGUUUGGCACCUCGAUGUCGGCUCAUCACAUCCUGGGGCUGAAGUAGGUCCCAAGGGUAUGGCUGUUCGCCAUUUAAAGUGGUACGCGAGCUGGGUUUAGAACGUCGUGAGACAGUUCGGUCCCUAUCUGCCGUGGGCGCUGGAGAAUUGAGGGGGGCUGCUCCUAGUACGAGAGGACCGGAGUGGACGCAUCACUGGUGUUCGGGUUGUCAUGCCAAUGGCACUGCCCGGUAGCUAAAUGCGGAAGAGAUAAGUGCUGAAAGCAUCUAAGCACGAAACUUGCCCCGAGAUGAGUUCUCCCUGACUCCUUGAGAGUCCUGAAGGAACGUUGAAGACGACGACGUUGAUAGGCCGGGUGUGUAAGCGCAGCGAUGCGUUGAGCUAACCGGUACUAAUGAACCGUGAG